UGCAGUCGACGGCAGCACAGAAGAGCUUGCUCUUUGGGUGGCGAGUGGCGGACGGGUGAGUAAUGUCUGGGAAACUGCCCGAUGGAGGGGGAUAACUACUGGAAACGGUAGCUAAUACCGCAUAACGUCGCAAGACCAAAGUGGGGGACCUUCGGGCCUCACACCAUCGGAUGUGCCCAGAUGGGAUUAGCUAGUAGGUGGGGUAAUGGCUCACCUAGGCGACGAUCCCUAGCUGGUCUGAGAGGAUGACCAGCCACACUGGAACUGAGACACGGUCCAGACUCCUACGGGAGGCAGCAGUGGGGAAUAUUGCACAAUGGGCGCAAGCCUGAUGCAGCCAUGCCGCGUGUAUGAAGAAGGCCUUCGGGUUGUAAAGUACUUUCAGCGGGGAGGAAGGCGGUGAGGUUAAUAACCUUGCCGAUUGACGUUACCCGCAGAAGAAAGCACCGGCUAACUCCGUGCCAGCAGCCGCGGUAAUACGGAGGGGUGCAAGCGUUAAUCGGAAUUACUGGGCGUAAAGCGCACGCAGGCGGUCUGUUAAGUCAGAUGUGAAAUCCCCGGGCUUAACCUGGGAACUGCAUUUGAAACUGGCAGGCUUGAGUCUCGUAGAGGGGGGUAGAAUUCCCAGGUGUAGCGGUGAAAUGCGUAGAGAUCUGGAGGAAUACCGGUGGCGAAGGCGGCCCCCUGGACGAAGACUGACGCUCAGGUGCGAAAGCGUGGGGAGCAAACAGGAUUAGAUACCCUGGUAGUCCACGCCGUAAACGAUGUCGACUUGGAGGUUGUGCCCUUGAGGCGUGGCUUCCGGAGCUAACGCGUUAAGUCGACCGCCUGGGGAGUACGGCCGCAAGGUUAAAACUCAAAUGAAUUGACGGGGGCCCGCACAAGCGGUGGAGCAUGUGGUUUAAUUCGAUGCAACGCGAAGAACCUUACCUGGCCUUGACAUCCAGAGAACUUAGCAGAGAUGCUUUGGUGCCUUCGGGAACUCUGAGACAGGUGCUGCAUGGCUGUCGUCAGCUCGUGUUGUGAAAUGUUGGGUUAAGUCCCGCAACGAGCGCAACCCUUAUCCUUUGUUGCCAGCGGUUCGGCCGGGAACUCAAAGGAGACUGCCGGUGAUAAACCGGAGGAAGGUGGGGAUGACGUCAAGUCAUCAUGGCCCUUACGGCCAGGGCUACACACGUGCUACAAUGGCGCAUACAAAGAGAAGCGACCUCGCGAGAGCAAGCGGACCUCAUAAAGUGCGUCGUAGUCCGGAUUGGAGUCUGCAACUCGACUCCAUGAAGUCGGAAUCGCUAGUAAUCGUAGAUCAGAAUGCUACGGUGAAUACGUUCCCGGGCCUUGUACACACCGCCCGUCACACCAUGGGAGUGGGUUGCAAAAGAAGUAGGUAGCUUAACCUUCGGGAGGGC
Molecule: ribosomal RNA, 1406 nt
Filed under: Pantoea dispersa
Lineage: Bacteria; Pseudomonadati; Pseudomonadota; Gammaproteobacteria; Enterobacterales; Erwiniaceae
Description: bacterial SSU rRNA
Rfam family: Bacterial small subunit ribosomal RNA
Source: RNAcentral